CCUACGGGAGGCAGCAGUGGGGAAUAUUGCACAAUGGGGGAAACCCUGAUGCAGCGACGCCGCGUGAGUGAAGAAGUAUUUCGGUUUGUAAAGCUCUAUCAGCAGGGAAGAAGAAAUACGGUACCUGACUAAGAAGCCCCGGCUAACUACGUGCCAGCAGCCGCGGUAAUACGUAUGGGGCAAGCGUUAUCCGGAUUUAAUGGGUGGAAAUGUAACGUAGUCGGUUGUGCAAGUCUAAAGGGAAAACCUCGGGGUCAACCCUGGGACUGCUUUGGAAACUGUGGAGCUAGAGGGCGGGAGAGGUAAGUGGAAUUCCUAGUGUAGCGGUGAAAUGCGUAGAUAUUAGGAGGAACAUCAGUGGCGAAGGCGGCUUACUGGACAGUAACUGACGUUGAGGCUCGAAAGCGUGGGGAGCAAACAGGAUUAGAUACCCGGGUAGUC
RNAcentral lists this ribosomal RNA (441 nucleotides) under uncultured bacterium. Its description in RNAcentral is "partial 16S ribosomal RNA". It matches the Rfam family "Bacterial small subunit ribosomal RNA", at positions 338 to 795 of the family's 1533-position model. The record is from RNAcentral.